This is a ribosomal RNA of 437 nucleotides. It matches the Rfam family "Bacterial small subunit ribosomal RNA", at positions 341 to 792 of the family's 1533-position model.
ACGGAAGGCAGCAGUGGGGAAUAUUGGGCAAUGGGCGAAAGCCUGACCCAGCAACGCCGCGUGAAGGAAGAAGGUUUUCGGAUUGUAAACUUCUUUUAUCAGGGACGAAGAAAGUGACGGUACCUGAUGAAUAAGCCACGGCUAACUACGUGCCAGCAGCCGCGGUAAUACGUAGGUGGCAAGCGUUAUCCGGAUUUACUGGGUGUAAAGGGCGCGUAGGCGGGGAUGCAAGUCAGAUGUGAAAUCUAUGGGCUUAACCCAUAAACUGCAUUUGAAACUGUAUCUCUUGAGUGUCGGAGAGGUAGACGGAAUUCCUAGUGUAGCGGUGAAAUGCGUAGAUAUUAGGAGGAACACCAGUGGCGAAGGCGGUCUACUGGACGAUAACUGACGCUGAGGCGCGAAAGCGUGGGGAGCGAACAGGAUUAGAUACCCUGGUA